RNAcentral lists this ribosomal RNA (504 nucleotides) under uncultured bacterium. Its description in RNAcentral is "partial 16S ribosomal RNA". It matches the Rfam family "Bacterial small subunit ribosomal RNA", at positions 28 to 523 of the family's 1533-position model. The record is from RNAcentral.
GAUGAACGCUAGCGACAGGCCUAACACAUGCAAGUCGAGGGGCAGCAUAAAUGUAGCAAUACAUUGGUGGCGACCGGCGCACGGGUGAGUAUCGCGUAUGCAACCUACCUACUACAGGGGAAUAGCCUUCCGAAAGGGAGAUUAAUACCGCAUAACACAGGGGCUCCGCAUGGAGAUAUUUGUUAAAGAUUUAUCGGUAGUAGAUGGGCAUGCGUUCCAUUAGCUAGUUGGCGGGGUAAGGGCUCACCAAGGCAACGAUGGAUAGGGGAACUGAGAGGUUUGUCCCCCACAAGGGUACUGAGACACGGACCAGACUCCUACGGGAGGCAGCAGUGAGGAAUAUUGGUCAAUGGGCGAGAGCCUGAACCAGCCAAGUCGCGUGAAGGAUGACGGUUCUAUGGAUUGCAAACUUCUUUUGUACGAGGGUAAAGUGAGCUACGAGUAGCUUAUUGCAAGUAUCGUACGAAUAAGCAUCGGCUAACUCCAUGCCAGCAGCCGCGGUAA